UACAGAGGGUGCAAGCGUUGUUCGGAAUUAUUGGGCGUAAAGGGCGCGUAGGCGGUGCGGUAAGUCUGCGGUGAAAUCUCCCGGCUCAACUGGGAGUCUGCCGUGGAAACUGCCGUGCUUGAGUGUGGGAGAGGUGAGUGGAAUUCCCGGUGUAGCGGUGAAAUGCGUUGAUAUCGGAAGGAACGCCGGUGGCGAAAGCGACGGACUGGAUCUCUUCUGACGCUGAGGCGCGAAAGCCAGGGGAGCAAACGGG
This 253-nucleotide ribosomal RNA is filed under the name uncultured bacterium. Its description in RNAcentral is "partial 16S ribosomal RNA". It matches the Rfam family "Bacterial small subunit ribosomal RNA", at positions 524 to 776 of the family's 1533-position model. The record is from RNAcentral.